AGGGCUUCAGGGGUCAUGUGGGGUCAAGAGUCUUCUUUGAGAUGAUGCACGCAACUGCUGUCUUUCAUUUUGACUCUUUCAAACCGUCGGGAAGAACUCUGGGAAUUGUUAUCAAUUGGUAACAGAUGGUUGUGUAACCUCCAAAAGUGUUGGGUACCAGAAACACCUGAUGAUGCUGCAGAGAGCAAGAACCUCCAGAAUUUGGACCAACCAGACGUGUUCUCCGUAGAAGACCUCAGGCCAAGAGCUAUGCCAUUGGCACUCAGUGAAGACCUCCAUUACAUAGAUCCUGGAUUGUCCAAACCAGAUUUUUCAAGAGGAGUUUUUAUACUGUGUGUUUCUACACGGUGGUGUAUACACAAUGGUGAUGCAGAUGAUUAAGAAGUUCCAACUACAGCACUGUGUGGCAUGGGCUGUCAAACAGUCGUGUGAGAGCUUCAGAGAAGUAACCUAUCAAAGGGAAAUCCCACCGUACUGUCGGGACCUGUAGUCAGCGUACUGAUUUUGUUAUCUGACAGAUACAAGAGAUCACUCAGGAGUUGCAUAGGAUGGAACGCAGGUUACAACAAAAAUUCAUGAACAACAUCAAUCCAUUCUCCUACCCAGAGAGUCCAAUGUCAUCGCGAAAUGACUGUUACAGACAACAGGCGUAGGAGAAUGCAUCAACCGUGGAACAAUAGAAAAGAAAAAACACAGCCAAUCGCAAACACAAAUGGUGGGACAGCUGAUUGCUGAAUAGCUAGUGCAGAUGGAUAGGAAUUUGCUGGUGUCCAUUAUUGUAUGGAGAUUCACCAAAAGCACUGGAAUGAAUAGAAACUUGUAGUCUUGUAAUCCUGACCCAUUUGCAGGCUUGGAAAGUGAUGAUGAUGGUGAUGACAGGAGUAUCUAUGAUGGAGAGGAAGAUAAUGAUCAUCACAAGACAUUUCAAUGGGCAUGGAAGACAUAAUGUAUUCAUCUUAGUUACAGUUUGCAAUUGAUGUUUGUGUACAUAAUAGUGUGAUCAUAAGCCACAUUAAGAUAUCAAAUAACAAGAAAUGAAGAUCUCAUACCUCAGUGAAAUAAUUUUUAGUUUUUCUGGAUUUCUUUUUUUAUGAAUUUCUUGUUGAUCCUGUCUGCAUUUUCCAUGGGCUACCAGAGGGACCAGGCAUGCAUGUAACAGGAAAUUGAAGACAGGAAAUUAGAUAUCCCUUUCUGGGACCUUUGAACUAGUUUCCUGUCAGUGGUCAGUGUCCCAGACGUUGCUAGUAUGUGGAAAUCAGCCUGUAUGGGAAGUAUGCUGACCUCCACUUUGACCUCCACUUCCUGUAAGUCUGUGGUGACACCAUUUUCUGUUACUUUCACUGUUAACAACUCACUACGGACACACUAAAGCAAAAAGGCACACCUUAAACAAAAUUGCCAACCUUUAUAUAAUAUUCCGUUCUGUACAAUGUCUGACACUACUAACAAUACAAUUUCAAGCACAAUCCACAUGUUUGUUAUAUCUCUCAAUAUACGAAUUAAGCUAGAUUUAAUCUGAUCAAACGGAUCCGUCGUUUACAAACUUUUUCAACGAUAAGUGAACUGCAAUGUCCAGCACAAUUUUAACACAGAUUACACAUGUUGUACUGUAAUGAUAAUUUCUUUUACAGAGUUUUAUGUUCUUCGAUGUCCCUAAAAGCAAAUUAAAUUACCUGCAUAUCUGUAAUGUUAUCGUCAUGAUUAAGUUGUUUGGCAAACUGCACGUAAGUUUGGCAUAACAAAUGGGAUAUUCCUGUAUAUCUUAGAAACACACGGAUUGACUAAAGUACAGCCUGAUCCAGGCGAUAACAUACCCACCGGUAUUUGAUAUACCCCCGGUAGUCAAUAUUCAUUAAUCUCUUUAGACAGAUCGUUCUUUGCUGUGUAGUUGUAGGACGCUAAUGAUGUUUGAUUUAUGCCCGUAUUGGACACAUUGCCUUCCGUGCAAACGUUUUCUCAUAAAAAUGAUUACGUCAAGAAAUGAAUUUAAGUCAUUGUCAACAACAGGUUAACAGUGAUCAUGAUUAAUUUCAAUAUUGAGAUUUUUGUUACCUCGUAUUGGUCCGCAUCAGCUCUAUAGCAAGAUGACAUACAACCUGAAAGCUGGGUUAAAAUUCAAUUUUUUUAUGGAGCUCAUUUAACUUGUUUUGAAGCCAACAAUGGCCACUUUUUUGAAGCCAACAAUGGCCACUUUACCCAAAGUCUCAUAUUAUUUGGAAACGUAUCAUGGACAAUAUCGGCAGGAAUACAUUCUUUUCAUACAAUAAAGACAACGUUCUGCAUCUGAACUUCAGGUAGUGAUGUCACCUAUGUUGAGGAUACAAUGGUUUCUCCCAAGCUUGCGUAUAACUUAAGAAAUGUGCGAACUUUCACUAGCCUAAUAGCGGAAGGUGUAAUGUAGGGAUCCAGACGGGAAUCCAGUGCACAACCUUUCCGUGAUGAACAACGCUUUUGGAUCGCUUUCAUACCGCUGAAUCUUCCUGGUUUACAUUUAGGAAAGUUUUUCCUUGUAGACCAGGUGUUCUCAAAGGCAUCAAGAUGAGAAUAUUGUAUCUGCUACUGUUGUGGAUUACUGUGGUGUCUGCAGUCAGCACGAAACAGGUCAACCGAAGUACAGGCGCUUCCCAGAUCACCGGAGUGGCUCCUCACGUUGGAAGCUUGAACGGCGGAACGAACAUCAAGAUCUUCGGAAGA
Branchiostoma floridae (Florida lancelet) is the source of this 2694-nucleotide long non-coding RNA. RefSeq lists it as uncharacterized. NCBI's taxonomy places the organism in Eukaryota, Metazoa, Chordata, Leptocardii, Amphioxiformes, Branchiostomatidae. The record is from RefSeq and is a predicted model, not a curated record. The transcript is spliced from 6 exons.